Molecule: long non-coding RNA, 313 nt
Organism: Mastomys coucha (southern multimammate mouse)
Lineage: Eukaryota; Metazoa; Chordata; Mammalia; Rodentia; Muridae
Exons: 2
Source: RefSeq, a predicted model, not a curated record
UGAGGCACAGGAGGGCAAGGACUCAGCAUCAGUCCUAGUCAGGACCCUCAGCUUGAAACCAGCUAGUCUCUCUUACCUGCUCUGCAAGGUCUUAGGAACCCUGUGCUGGGAUACAACAGUGGUGACCUGGCAACUGUUUCCAGGCAACUAUUACUAGGGAACUAUGACUCAGCAGCUGCCCAAAGGUCUUCUAUCUGGUGGGAGCACAGAUCACUGGAAUCCCCGUGUUCUCAGCUUGAUCCUUUGCAAAGCUGCUUGUUAAUGUUUUGAAUGGUUAAAAUGAGGUGAUCAAAGUAAAAUUUCAGAAAUCACA